AGGAGAGUUUGAUCCUGGCUCAGGAUGAACGCUAGCGGCAGGCCUAAUACAUGCAAGUCGAACGGUAAAUGUCCCUUCGGGGACAUGAGAGUGGCGCACGGGUGCGUAACGCGUAUGCAACCCACCCGCUGUCGGGGGAUAGCCCGGAGAAAUUCGAAUUAAUACCCCAUGAGGAGCGAGGAAGGCAUCUUCCAUGUUUCAAAACUUCGGUGACGGCGGACGGGCAUGCGUGCCAUUAGAUGGUUGGCGGGGUAACGGCCCACCAAGUCGACGAUGGCUAGGGGAUCUGAGAGGACGGUCCCCCACACUGGUACUGAGACACGGACCAGACUCCUACGGGAGGCAGCAGUAAGGGAUAUUGGUCAAUGGGGGGAACCCUGAACCAGCCAUGCCGCGUGAGGGAAUAAGGCCCUACGGGUCGUAAACCUCUUUUGCCGGGGGAUAAGGAUAGGAACGUGUUCCUAUUUGAAGGUACCCGGAGAAUAAGCAUCGGCUAACUCCGUGCCAGCAGCCGCGGUAAUACGGAGGAUGCGAGCGUUAUCCGGAUUUAUUGGGUUUAAAGGGUGCGCAGGCGGGCGAUUAAGUCAGCGGUGAAAGGCUCGGGCUCAACCGGAGCAGUGCCGUUGAUACUGGUUGUCUUGAAUGCGGUCAAGGCCGGCGGAAUGUGGCGUGUAGCGGUGAAAUGCAUAGAUAUGCCACAGAACACCGAUAGCGAAGGCAGCCGGCGAGUCCUCAACUGACGCUAAAGCUCGAAAGUGCGGGUAUCGAACAGGAUUAGAUACCCUGGUAGUCCCCU
Molecule: ribosomal RNA, 796 nt
Filed under: uncultured Bacteroidota bacterium
Lineage: Bacteria; Pseudomonadati; Bacteroidota
Description: bacterial SSU rRNA
Rfam family: Bacterial small subunit ribosomal RNA
Source: RNAcentral